UGGGGAAUUUUUCGCAAUGGGGGAAACCCUGACGAAGCAACGCCGCGUGGAGGAUGAAGGCCUUCGGGUCGUAAACUCCUGUCGACUGGGACGAAAGUAGUCCGACCCAAUACGUCGGGCUAUCGACUGUACCGGUGGAGGAAGCCACGGCUAACUCUGUGCCAGCAGCCGCGGUAAUACGAAGGUCCCAAGCGUUGUUCGGAAUCACUGGGCGUAAAGGGUGCGUAGGCGGCGGGGUAAGUCAGAUGUGAAAUUUUCGAGCUCAACUUGGAAACUGCAUCCGAUACUACUUUGCUUGAGUAGCGGAGGGGAGUCUGGAAUUCACGGUGUAGCAGUGAAAUGCGUAGAGAUCGUGAGGAACACUAGUAGCGAAGGCGAGACUCUGGACGUUUACUGACGCUGAGGCACGAAGGCCAGGGGAGCAAAAGGGAUUAGAUACCCCCGUAGUCCCUGAGCGGGCUGGCAAGGCGCAU
RNAcentral lists this ribosomal RNA (473 nucleotides) under uncultured bacterium. RNAcentral describes it as "bacterial SSU rRNA". It matches the Rfam family "Bacterial small subunit ribosomal RNA", at positions 355 to 825 of the family's 1533-position model. The record is from RNAcentral.